ACUUAACACAGAGAAACAUCACAUCCAUAGAUUAAUAAUAUAAGAUAUAUGUUUUUGUUCACAGCAGGCACACCUUUCUUCGGAUGAAUUCAUUCAUUGACGAGUUUUGGAACUCUGCACCUUCGACCUCAUCACCUGGUGGAAGCAUGAAAUCCACAAUUGUUCUAGUUUAGUUAUUGGUUUUUAAAUGCCAACGAAAAAAUAAAACCAUUACAUCUCGCAAAUGCUAGAAACGAUUAAGACAUUUCAUACCUCACGUGGUGACUCCAUCACCCUUCGAGAAGGUGUUCCGUUUCUGUAUCUCCACCCAACGUUCGAAUGUAUUCAGCUAACUGAAUAGCAGCUGAGGUAUGAAAAAAAAA
RNAcentral lists this long non-coding RNA (362 nucleotides) under Arabidopsis lyrata. Its description in RNAcentral is "long non-coding RNA (ALYR_LNC002254)". Lineage: Eukaryota; Viridiplantae; Streptophyta; Magnoliopsida; Brassicales; Brassicaceae. The record is from RNAcentral.